Non-coding RNA from Paramuricea clavata, 211 nucleotides. Lineage: Eukaryota; Metazoa; Cnidaria; Anthozoa; Malacalcyonacea; Plexauridae. The record is from the annotation of a GenBank genome assembly.
UAAACAUUAAAACACAGAAAAUACAUGUAUGGACAAUGGCAGAGGACACGCUACAGCUUACGCCAAUUACAGCGGCCCUUACAUAUAAGAUACGACAUCACAAACACAUUAAACUAAUAACAACACGAUACUUCACAGGACAGAUUACGGGACUUGUUACAGGACAAACAUAUUGAUUUCCAUGUUCUUGGAUCUAUGACCUAUGUUCCAC